Molecule: long non-coding RNA, 319 nt
Filed under: Elaeis guineensis (African oil palm)
Lineage: Eukaryota; Viridiplantae; Streptophyta; Magnoliopsida; Arecales; Arecaceae
Description: long non-coding RNA (EGUI_LNC045659)
Source: RNAcentral
AUCCUAUGUUCAAACCAAUUUUUUAGAUAAAUUUUAUGCCAUAUGGGAUGCCCCUUAUAUAAGGAAUGAAGGGGCGCCACAUAAAACAUCAAGGGGCGCCAACUCUUGGCGUCCCACCUUCCUUACAUGCUAAGAUUAAUUUUUUGCAUGUAAUCCAAGGCUUCAAAGCAUGGAUAGGAAGAGAUCAAUAAGUAGAAGGACUCCUCCACUACAUAAAAAAAUUUGAAUGCCAUCUUAUGGUGUGUGGAAUUAAGGAAACGCGUGAGAAAUUAAGGGUCCUUAACAAUUAAGACUCUUCCAUAAACUCAACACAUAUAUG